This 277-nucleotide unclassified non-coding RNA is filed under the name Orbiliales sp. RNAcentral's name for it is "partial contains 5.8S ribosomal RNA, internal transcribed spacer 2, and large subunit ribosomal RNA". The record is from RNAcentral. Lineage: Eukaryota; Fungi; Ascomycota; Orbiliomycetes; Orbiliales.
CGCACAUUGCGCUCCCUGGUAUUCCUAGGAGCACGCCUGUCUGAGCGUCAGUACACACCCUCCGUCGUCCUCUUUGCGGGGGACGGUCGGGUACUGAGCGGCCGGGAGGGGGAAACCUCGCCCGCCGCUCUAAAGUGGAAAGCCAGCGGCCCGCCUGCCCGUGAAAGACGUAGUGAUGCUCAUGAAUCGUCCGCGAACGGUGGAGGUGUCGGCCAGCCUCGAAUCUUAACUCUUAAGGUUUGACCUCAGAUCAGACGAGGAUACCCGCUGAACUUAA